AUGUCGAUCUUCGAGUACAACGGCUCCGCGGUGGUGGCGAUGGUGGGGAAGAACUGCUUCGCCAUCGCCAGCGACCGCCGCCUCGGCGUGCAGCUGCAGACCGUCGCCACCGACUUCCAGCGGGUCUUCAAGAUCCACGGCAAGCUCUACAUCGGCCUCUCCGGCCUCGCCUCCGACGCCCAGACGCUGUACCAGCGGCUCGUGUUCAAGCACAAGCUGUACCAGCUGCGGGAGGAGCGCGACAUGAAGCCCGAGACCUUCGCCAGCCUCGUCUCCUCCAUGCUCUACGAGAAGAGAUUUGGGCCGUACUUCUGCCAGCCAAUUAUUGCUGGACUUGGACAGGACGACGAGCCAUUUAUUUGUACCAUGGACUGCAUUGGUGCAAAGGAACUUGCUAAGGAUUUUGUUGUCUCAGGGACAGCAUCAGAGUCCCUAUAUGGUGCUUGUGAAUCCAUGUACAAACCCAACAUGGAACCCGAGGAACUCUUCGAGACCAUAUCACAAGCCCUGUUGUCUUCAGUUGAUCGCGAUUGCCUCAGUGGGUGGGGAGGCUAUGUUCUAAUUGUGACACCGACCGAAGUUCAAGAGCGGGUGCUCAAGGGCAGGAUGGACUAG
RNAcentral lists this ribosomal RNA (615 nucleotides) under Triticum aestivum (bread wheat). Its description in RNAcentral is "partial small subunit ribosomal RNA". Lineage: Eukaryota; Viridiplantae; Streptophyta; Magnoliopsida; Poales; Poaceae. The record is from RNAcentral.